This 103-nucleotide non-coding RNA is filed under the name Amborella trichopoda. RNAcentral's name for it is "rRNA SSU_rRNA_eukarya". It matches the Rfam family "Eukaryotic small subunit ribosomal RNA", at positions 1502 to 1604 of the family's 1831-position model. Lineage: Eukaryota; Viridiplantae; Streptophyta; Magnoliopsida; Amborellales; Amborellaceae. The record is from Rfam by way of RNAcentral.
ACUGAUGUAUUCAACGAGUAUAUAGCCUUGGCCGAUAGGCCCGAGUAAUCUGUCGAAAUUUCAUCGUAAUGGGGAUAGAUCAUUGCAAUUGUUGGUCUUCAAC